This is a long non-coding RNA of Dicentrarchus labrax (European seabass), 2575 nucleotides long. RefSeq lists it as uncharacterized. Lineage: Eukaryota; Metazoa; Chordata; Actinopteri; Moronidae. The transcript has 2 exons. The record is from RefSeq and is a predicted model, not a curated record.
GGACAAGUGCGGUCAGACGUCGACAACGAUGCAGCUAAAACUCGACCCAGAACUGAGGGAGGAAGAAUGAAAGGCGAGGAUGUCUGUCGCACAUGCACUGACCUGAGGCAAGCUGGGGGUCAAAUGCGAUUAUGAAACUGAGCUUCAGCAAAUGGAGGAAGUGAUAUUUGGAUGGAAUUGCACCAAUGACUUCAGUAACCUUAAGUCGACAGCCAUUGAACCAGGCUAUCCACCUGAUCAUCCAUCUGCAUGUGAGUGUGAACAUACUGAUGGCCUCGAGAAGGAUGGAGGUCCGGAGCUGAUUGUCCAAACGCAAUUCUUGCGUCUGCCUUUGUGAAACCAGGAGUUGUGGAUGGACAUCACGCCCCUGACCUCUGAAAAUCAGCGAGGGAUCGACCACAAUGGAUGGUAUAAAACUCAGUGGCUUUGUGGGUGGAUGAGCGAGAGACACUGAAAGACAAACAGAGAGAGGGAAAGAGAGAGGGACAUAUUGAAUAAGGGAGAGUGUGUGUUUAUGUAAAUGUAAAGCCUGUAAGAACCUCUCUCAACAUUUUUGGAGGUCAGCUUUACUUUAUUCCAAACAAAACCAGAAUAGUUUCAGAUUGGGCCUGUACAAGCUGUCUGCUUUAACUUGUAACAGAACAUGUAAAAUUAAAAUUCCUGCUCUUCAGGUCAACUCAGGUGGACAGUGAAAAGCUUAGGGAAGUGUUCCUUUUACAGGCCAGUCAUGGAUUACAAGACAGGCUGGUGAAUAAUUAACAUCAUCAUUGGUUUGAAAAGUAAUGGCACCAAACAGAGACAGCAGGUGGACAGCAGCCAAAAGGGAAGUGAAGAGGAAGUCAAUUAAUUUAUUUGGCAAUUCAUACAACACAAAUUGCUCAAUGUCCAAUUCUAAAACAGAAACCUUCACAUAUUUCAUGACUAAUCAAAUUUUUCCCAAAACCUAAAAGUUAUUGUAAACUUUAUCUUUCACACUGGUGUGAAAAUGUGAGUUUCAACAAGUAUUUUAAUUGACUUGAUGCUUAAAUAUCCAGAAAGGAAACGAACAAAUAAUCCAACUGCCAAUGCCAUUUAUGUUUUACUUUUUUGAAAAUUUCUUCUGCUCAGGUGCAAAGCCUAACACUCAUUCAAGCCCGGCACAGCAGAUCAGGGGUGUCCCAUUUUGGAAAGGGGGUUAGAGUCUGUCUGUGGAGCAGAAAGGACUGAAUAGCUCUCACCAUGUUAAGUACAGUUGAAUGUGUCCGGUUCGCACUUCAGCACCGGCGUCUAGAGAGGGUCUUGCUAAAUUUGCAGUAGAAGGGGUGAGAGUGACAGAAAGGGAGAGUGAAUGUGGGGAGGGAGGUGUGUGUGUGUGUGUGUGUGUGUGUGUGUGUGUGUGUGUGUGUGUGUGUGUGUGUGUGUGUGUGUGUGUCUGUGUGUGUACUUACCCUCUCUGUGUUUGCCCCUGUGAAUUUGCCUCUGUGUGUUUUUUCCUGUGUUUGGCAAAGUUCAGGAGGCCAGACUUGGAGAAAGAAAAGGGAAAAUGAGAGAAAGUAAAGGAUUUGAAUGAGGUUGUGAGAGAGGGAGUGAGACGGUGAGCAAGAUAGAAAAAGAAGGCAAAGAUCUGACUGAGAGAGAGAGGACAUAGAUGAGUACAAGAGGACAUUUUUGGAGGGAAAAGAAGACCAGGCUCCUUGAAAUUUGUGUGGCGAAAUAGUCCACUGCUUCACAGCACGAGUGGCGUAAAUUGGUGAUAUUUAUAGAUUGAAGCUGCAGGAAGCGACAACUCAGUCUGGGAAAUACGUAUAGAGAAAGAGAAAGAGUGAGGGAGAGAGAGAGCGGGAGACAGAGGGUGGGAGGGAGAUCAAGAGCGAGGCUGCAUUAAUAUGCUAAUGGCCUGAGUGAAUGCACAACAGGCCCACUGACCAGGCUAAUCACUGGUGGACACACACUGAGGCUAAUCCCUCACACAGCACUCACACACACGUAGUCACACAUGCACAUACAGUCCAGGUUAAAAUAUUUGGACAGUGACAUAUUUGCAUGGCUUUGUCUCUGUAGUCCAGCACAAUGGAUUUGAAAUGAAACACUGAGUAUCAGGUUAAAGGGCUGACUUUCAGGUUUAAUUUGUAGGUGUUUAUGUUCAUUUGGGAUAAUUAAUGUAUCAGUAAUAUCCCUUUUUAUAUUAAAUUUUGGGGAAAUUGACUGCAAAGGAUUAACCACUGCAAUAUUAAUUAUGAUGACUUAAAGUUCAUGCAAAAUGUUCAAUUAAUUUGGUCCCUCAAAGGCAAACAAUUCAAAAACAUGUAGUUUGAUAUGGAUGCAAAAUACACCUUAAUUUAAUAUUUAGUGUGGAGGAGUACAGAGUCAAAAUAAUAUACAAAUGUGUUACUGUCCAAAGACUGAGACACAUGAGGGAGAAACAGAAAACAGGGAUGAAAUGAAAAUGAAAUGCUCAACCACUGAAUGCAGGCUCAUAACUGUUGCAUGUGUGUGUAUUUUAUACUUAUCAUGUAAUGUAAUGUGUGUGUCUGUGGUCAUUAAUAUUGUUGUCAUAUUGCAGGUUAAAAUAAUAAAAAAUAAACUUUCAAAAACA